Molecule: unclassified non-coding RNA, 240 nt
Filed under: soil metagenome
Description: partial contains 5.8S ribosomal RNA, internal transcribed spacer 2, and large subunit ribosomal RNA
Source: RNAcentral
AACAUCGCGCACCUGCGGGAACCUGCGGAAGGAUCAUUAAUGAUUGGUGGCUGUUGCUGACUAGUGUUUCUAGUAUGUGCACGCCACACCUUCAAUCCCACUUACACCUGAGCACCUUCUGUAAUAGAUCUAUGUGGAUACGGAGAUGUGAAAGUUUGCGCUCUCCUACUCUGUUGAAGCAGUCUACUACGUUUUUUUACACACACACACACAAUAGUCAUUGAAUGUAUUUUUUAUUCU